GGGAAUGUAGCUUAGAGGUGAAGUGCUUGCUUUACAUGCAUGAAAGCCCUGGGUUCGAUUCCUCAGCACCA
RNAcentral lists this transfer RNA (71 nucleotides) under Dipodomys ordii (Ord's kangaroo rat). It matches the Rfam family "tRNA". From Rfam's summary of the family: Transfer RNA (tRNA) molecules are approximately 80 nucleotides in length. Their secondary structure includes four short double-helical elements and three loops (D, anti-codon, and T loops). The record is from Rfam by way of RNAcentral. Lineage: Eukaryota; Metazoa; Chordata; Mammalia; Rodentia; Heteromyidae.